RNAcentral lists this long non-coding RNA (1173 nucleotides) under Gouania willdenowi (blunt-snouted clingfish). Its description in RNAcentral is "lncRNA (ENSGWIG00000023259.1)". The record is from RNAcentral. Lineage: Eukaryota; Metazoa; Chordata; Actinopteri; Blenniiformes; Gobiesocidae.
AUGUUAAACACAUCUGACACAGCGAAUGCUGAGCUGCUGAAAGCACUCUCUAACUACGAAGAACUGAGCAAGAAACUCAUACAGUCUCUACCAGUAAAUGCUACAUCACCGUCUGCCCCACCUAGUCAGCCGUGCAGAAAUAUGCUGGGUGAGCCUGUCCCCCAGUCAGCUCGUGAGGGGAUGGUAUCCUUAAGAGACCUCAGUUACCUUCCUAGGAGAGAAUUCAAAGUGCAAGGUGGUCAAGUUGGUGAUCAAUCCUCCGACAUCAGCUACAGCAAUGUUUGCAAACAAAUUGAUGAUGGGAUUAAAGAAGGAUUUUCUGAAUCAGAAAUUGUUCGUGGGGUGCUCAAAAUCAUAAGGCCAGGCAUAUUCAAAGAGAUGCUGAUAAACAAAGAUGACAUUACAGUUACUGAACUCAAGGGGUUUCUCCAAAGUCACCUAAGAGAAAAAAAUAGUACAGAACUAUUCCAGGAGUUGAUGUGCACCAGACAGGACGAUAAUGAGACGCCACAGCAAUUUCUGUAUUGUGUGAUAGGUUUAAAGCGACGCAUCCUAUUUCCAUCAAAACUGACUGAUACUGACAUUAAAUACUCGGCAGCCACAGUACAAGAUGUCUUCCUGCAUACAGUGUACCAAGGCUUUGGACACAAACACACUGAUAUUCGGAGAGAACUGAAACAUUUAUUAUCCAGCAGUGGGGUCACUGAUGAGAUGAUCCCUCGACAGGUGAUGAAAACCACCAGUGAGGAAAACGAGAGAAUGAAAAGACUUGGUUCAUCCCGCCGACAGAAUGUAACAAAUGCACACAGCGCGCAGCUCGAGUCUGAAGGGGUCAAAAGACCUAACACAAAUUCGGUGAGUGAAGAGGUAAAGUCAACCCAAACAAAGCCAGAUCCCUUGAGAGACCUCACUAGCAAAGUAGAGGCACUCACCAAGCUGGUCAUGACGAUGCAAACCCACCAGCAGCAAGCUCACAAUGGCCACCAGUACAGUCAAAAUAGGACACAAUCAAAACGUGGGAAACACUAUGAGUGUCCAAGCUGCGUGGAACAAGACAGAGAAGACUGUAAACACUGUUUCAUAUGUGGGGGGGAAGGACACCGAGCUGCAGGCUGUUUAGGACGGUCAAAGAGACAGGGAAACUUCAACCGGUCAUUGGAGGGGGGCAUCUAG